RNAcentral lists this ribosomal RNA (481 nucleotides) under uncultured bacterium. RNAcentral describes it as "bacterial SSU rRNA". It matches the Rfam family "Bacterial small subunit ribosomal RNA", at positions 28 to 485 of the family's 1533-position model. The record is from RNAcentral.
GACGAACGCUGGCGGCGUGCCUAAUACAUGCAAGUCGAACGCACUCUCGUUUAGAUUGAAGGAGCUUGCUCCUGAUUGAUAAACAUUUGAGUGAGUGGCGGACGGGUGAGUAACACGUGGGUAACCUGCCCUAAAGUGGGGGAUAACAUUUGGAAACAGAUGCUAAUACCGCAUAAAACCUAACACCGCAUGGUGUAGGGUUGAAAGAUGGUUUCGGCUAUCACUUUAGGAUGGACCCGCGGUGCAUUAGUUAGUUGGUGAGGUAAAGGCUCACCAAGACCGUGAUGCAUAGCCGACCUGAGAGGGUAAUCGGCCACACUGGGACUGAGACACGGCCCAGACUCCUACGGGAGGCAGCAGUAGGGAAUCUUCCACAAUGGACGAAAGUACUGAUGGAGCAACGCCGCGUGGGUGAAGAAGGUUUUACGGAUCGUAAAACUACUGUUGUUGGUAGAAGAAUGUAUCUGAUAGUAACUAGAUC